GAUGAACGCUGGCGUCGUGCCUAAUACAUGCAAGUCGAGCGAACAGACGAGGAGCUUGCUCCUCUGACGUUAGCGGCGGACGGGUGAGUAACACGUGGAUAACCUACCUAUAAGACUGGGAUAACUUCGGGAAACCGGAGCUAAUACCGGAUAAUAUAUUGAACCGCAUGGUUCAAUAGUGAAAGACAGUUUUGCUGUCACUUAUAGAUGGAUCCGCGCCGCAUUAGCUAGUUGGUAAGGUAACGGCUUACCAAGGCAACGAUGCGUAGCCGACCUGAGAGGGUGAUCGGCCACACUGGAACUGAGACACGGUCCAGACUCCUACGGGAGGCAGCAGUAGGGAAUCUUCCGCAAUGGGCGAAAGCCUGACGGAGCAACGCCGCGUGAGUGAUGAAGGUCUUCGGAUCGUAAAACUCUGUUAUUAGGGAAGAACAAAUGUGUAAGUAACUAUGCACGUCUUGACGGUACCUAAUCAGAAAGCCACGGCUAACUACGUG
Molecule: ribosomal RNA, 497 nt
Filed under: uncultured bacterium
Lineage: Bacteria
Description: partial 16S ribosomal RNA
Rfam family: Bacterial small subunit ribosomal RNA
Source: RNAcentral